CUCGGAGUGGUUUUUGAAGUCACGAUGUGCUGCGGGGCUAGAAGAUGUUGGGUUUCUCCCGUUGCCACUUGGCAGAGGCUUGACACCAGCAGUGCUGCCAUGGCUCCUGUGCCAGCUCCUUGGGAUGGGCAGCCAGGGUUAAGCUACAGGCUUUUCUACAUCCUCUCUUUUCUUUGCAUGUGCAGCAAGACAAAGCUCACCUCACUAUUUGCUAUCUUCUGGCAGGGCACCACAGUGGUGCUCACAGGAGCAGCCCUGGAGAUGAUCCGCACUUACUGGCUGUGAAGAGGCUGGUGGACAUCGGGACGUGCUCCCUGCAGACAGCCCUGUUCUACAUUUGCUCUUGUCGAAGGCAGCCCCUGCUACGGGCAGAGCAAGACCAGCACAAAGCGCUCCUGAUGGUCCCUUCAGACAUCCUGAGGGAGAGCAAGAGUGCCAGAGAGUGGACACAGCAUCGACAGGGAACUUUUCCAAACCUAGGAGCAGAGGCGUACUGGAAGGAGAAGAGCCUUAACAUCAGGGGAACCAGCAAACAAACCAGCCACAGGCACCAACGCUGGCACCUUCCAUUGAGAGGAAACGACCCGCAGGAGGAAAUGUGCUCCUUCUCCGUCACUAACAGGGCAAAGUCCCUGGCAAACAGGUUCCAGGACACUUUAACAAACAGCAGCGUCAACAGCCCGUAUCCCAUAGCUCAAGAGAGACAGUGGUGACAUGCUCUAAGUGCCUCUGCUGAACUUUGGAAGACUUGUGCUGUUCCAGGGUUAUCUGAACAGAAGAGAGUUCCAUUUUUCAUCCAUGUCGAAGUAUGAACCGUUUGGCACCAUGAACAUCUGGAGGGUGUAUCUCUAACUGAGGACUACCCGAAGAGGAGCUCUAGACAAUACAAUAAACACUGGCCACACUGCA
This 909-nucleotide long non-coding RNA is filed under the name Calidris pygmaea (Spoon-billed sandpiper). Its description in RNAcentral is "lncRNA (ENSCPGG00000004490.1)". Lineage: Eukaryota; Metazoa; Chordata; Aves; Charadriiformes; Scolopacidae. The record is from RNAcentral.